This 758-nucleotide long non-coding RNA is filed under the name Lactuca sativa (garden lettuce). Its description in RNAcentral is "long non-coding RNA (LSAT_LNC003868)". Lineage: Eukaryota; Viridiplantae; Streptophyta; Magnoliopsida; Asterales; Asteraceae. The record is from RNAcentral.
CAAUGCCGCACAAGAUGUUCCUUAAACACCAUCGUUAUUCGAUAGAUACACACACAACACUUACACUAAAUUCACAUGCUUAAUUGCUUACAAACCCAAUGAAAAAGGAAAACCGGUGGCGCGUAACCAAUUACCACCACCGAUGAAGGUUCCCGCAGUAUACCCUUGAGCCUCUGUAGAACUUGUAAUCACCUUAUAUCCUUUCCAUUUUACUCUACCGGAAGUUCCAGCUCCGGCACCAGUGUUCUGGUACUCACGGUAGGUCAACGUGUCGAGCGCAAAGUUCCCAUCCCACUCAUACCAUCCGGCUGGUUGAAUCACAUUGGUAAUACUCGACUGCAUCACCACUGUCCUUGAAUACUGUUUCCAUGGUCGUCCGAGAUACGUCGGAAAACUUCCAAUCACCGGUUGCAGAUCGGAAGUAGCACCAAUCCUACAUUUUUGAAUAACAAUCCCUGUGUUUUGGUUGGCGUCGGUGCGUCCUUGUGCUGUUAGCAUGUUCUUUUGACCUGAUCCAGGGCGGCGAGCAUGGAUGUCGCAGUCUUGGAACACCACCGCAGCGUUUCCGAAGAUGAAAUCCACCGUGCCGGCGAUCAGGCAGUUGAUGUAGAAUUGACGGUUUUUGUGGACGUAAAGUGUGUCUUGGUAAGCUAACAUGUCACAUUGAUAGAAAGCGGAUAAAUCUGAGCCAACACGAAGUGCCACUGCUUGGUGGUUUGCAGCUCCGGCGGUGUUUUGAAAUGUUACGUCUUUUGCCA